This 253-nucleotide ribosomal RNA is filed under the name uncultured bacterium. RNAcentral describes it as "partial 16S ribosomal RNA". It matches the Rfam family "Bacterial small subunit ribosomal RNA", at positions 524 to 776 of the family's 1533-position model. The record is from RNAcentral.
UACGAAGGGGGCUAGCGUUGCUCGGAAUCACUGGGCGUAAAGGGUGCGUAGGCGGGUCUUUAAGUCAGGGGGGAAAUCCUGGAGCUCAACUCCAGAACUGCCUUUGAUACUGGAAGGCUUGAAUCCGGGAGAGGGAUGUGGAAUUCCAGGUGUAGCGGUGAAAUGCGUAGAUAUCUGGAGGAACACCGGUGGCGAAGGCGGCAUCCUGGACCGGUAUUGACGCUGAGGCGCGAAAGCUAGGGGAGCAAACGGG